Molecule: long non-coding RNA, 3065 nt
Organism: Ostrea edulis (European flat oyster)
Lineage: Eukaryota; Metazoa; Mollusca; Bivalvia; Ostreida; Ostreidae
Exons: 3
Source: RefSeq, a predicted model, not a curated record
AUAUAGUGCGCAAGUGCUAAUUGCUAGUCCUUUUUUAGUUGCAUGUCAAUGAAAAUCCAAAUUGAACAGAUCUGGAAUUCCAAUUCAACAUCAUCGCUCCGUCCUCGACUGACUCACCAUAUAUUUGGAAAAUGUUGCGACGUACCAAGCACCCAUCUAAAUCGCCUUACGCUAGACCGGCACAACAUUCAGCUCUUCGGUCACUGCCCACACAGAAUCUGACCCCUGCAAUUCCAACCCUGAUUCAGCUCUGUCCGAUAUCAAGUCAAUCCCAAGAGGAGAACCAGAUGGGCAUAGAGGACACAGCUAUCAUUCAAUCACAAAGGCAUUACUGAUGAACCUGGGGUUCACGUUCCUCAAGCCAUCAAAGAUAAAAUUUGGGCAAAGCAUUAUGUCAAUUUAUCUAAACUUCUGAAUUCACAAUCACACAACAACCAUGAUAUGCUCAAAUUUUCAAUCAUACAAGGUCAAUUAGGUGUCGAUCCCAAGGUCAAACAUAACAAAAUUCCCACGAUUCAUAACUCCAUAGAUGGAUUUUUAAUAUUCGCAAGUAUAUAUUUAGUUAGGCACCCUUCUGACAUCCAGGGCAUCUUAAAAUAUAUUCAUGCCAUUCGCAUAGCACAUGAUUCUAACCGGCUCGAGUACGAUAGGCAGUUCAGGCUAAAACAUCCCUCAAUCUCCUUUGGUUCCAUUGAUGCUGAGUUAUGGCUCAUGUAUAUGCAAUCCUAGGUUUCCUACCAGGUAACCCUUCAAAUCAGUCAAAAACCACAGACACAUUGGCGCAUUCAAAUAUUCAUUGUUUGAUUCAAAAUAUUGAGUGAAUUAUUGAUUCAUUGACCUCAAGUGUUGCGAUUAUCAUUUUAAAGGCUUAUGUUUUAAACCACACAGCAUCGACUUAUCAAAUAGGCAUAAACUCUUUUCAAACUUUAGUACCAUAUAUGAAUUCCAGCUAUGUUGGCCCCACCAGUUGACCAGGGGCCCAUUUUACAAAACAACUUACGACAAAGUCGCAAGUCUUAAAUUCUAUUACACAGUUAUUACUUUGAAUGAAUGAAGUAAAACUUUUCUAAGGCAUAAUUUUCAACAUUUUUGUUUUAAAAAAUUGGAUUUGGAGUGAAUGAUCUUACAAUAAACUGGUAAAUUCCAGUAUGUAAAGUUGGUCGUAAGUCGUAAGUUCUUUUGUAAAACGCGCCCCAGUUUAUCAACUAUGUUGCUUUCUUAAGUGUCACCUAAGUAUCGUUUUCAACGGCUAGGUGCAUUAGUUAAAAAUCUCAGUUAGAGGGCGGUAUUGACAACACAAAACAUUCAUAGUAAGCUAAAUGCUACAGGGAUUCCAUAGGCUCAACCCAGUAAAGCAUGUCCGUUUCCCUAUCACUCUUCGUAUACUGAACCAGUUCAUAUCUAUCCUACCAAUAGUUUGUUCAAGCUCAGACGAAGCCGCCAUGUUUUCCACCGCAUUUCAGUUGGCAUUUUUUGCAUUGUUGCGGGUUGUUGCUAGUCACGCCACUCCUACACUAUUGUACAAUGACGUAUCAAUAGGCGAUGUACAUAUUUCGUUGUUUAUAACUGGCUCAAAACAUCAAUGCAAUAGGGGUUCUACGUUGCACAUUUCACUCAACUCACGAGCAGAUUCAUUGUUCAAGCACAUGCACAAUUUUUUGUCCAUUAGACCAAUCACGUGGCCCAUUUUACUGCCACCUUAAUGCCAAACCGCUCACAAAAUAUCAACUUGCAUCAUUAAUCCAUCGGUCUAGAUCCCCAACACGAAAUUGAGGCUAGAGGCAGAUGGAAAUGCGAAUCAUUUAAUUCCUAUAUCAGAGCCUAAAAUUUAAAUUUUUAAAAUUUUUAAGUAUACCUGCAAUAUUUUGUGUCCUAAUUCAAUACCCAAGUUUGUAGGUUCCCGUACUACUGUCUGGAUCAUUGCCUCUUCCAUUAUUCAUUAUGCUGCCCGCCACGCAGAAAAGCAUUUCGGAAACCCGCAUAUGGAUCUACUACAGCACAAUUUUUUGUGCGGUAAGAGUGGUAUGGUGUGGAAGGAGGUGGAGCCUAUUGUUGCACAAAGGGGCAAGCCUGAUGUUAUAUUAAUUCAUUGGGGGGGGGGGGGGGACAGUAUUGUUACAACACCAUUGGUUAGAUUGCAAAAAUUUCUGAAAUUAACUAUUGCCUAUUUACAAACUUUUCUUCCACAAACUCGGUUCAUAUCGUCCCAGAUUCUCCCCAGGCGUUACUAUACACAUACGUUCUGAAAUAUUGCAGCAGACAACGCACGUAAGAGUAUUAUCAAAUAUUUAGCCCCAUUCGUAACACCCCACAAUGCCGAAUACAUAAAAUACCUAGUUCUUCAACAAUGCUCUUCCAAAUUUCACAGACACGGUAUGCAUUUGUCUGAUAUUGCUCAGGUUAUGUUUUUAAACACCAUCCGGGAUGGAUUGCUCAGCAUUGUCCAACGAAACGCCAGAAUAUUUCCUUAACCAAACUGCUAUUUGAUAAACAGUCUCCCUGUCAUGGCUCGAGCAAAAUUUUGCCCACUCGUGGCGGAUGUCUUUAUGUAUGUUAACAUUUCUUAUAUAUACAUGAAGACAUAUGGCCGAACUUUGCUAAGCCUGCCACAAAUUUUGUUUCAGUCCAGGUCCGUGGCCAAUACUUGGGCUUAUUGACAUUGAAUGAUUGAUUGAUAUUAAUAUUGAUUGAUUGACACAUUGGUGGAUUGGAAUAUUGAUUGAUUGAAAUAUUGUGUGAAUUAUUGAUUGAUUGACACAUUGGUGGGUUGAAAUAUUGAUUAAUUGAUUGAAAAUAUUGAAUGAAUUAUUGAUUGGUAUAUUGAUUGAUUGACACAUUGUUGGAUUGAAAUAUUGAUUGAUUGAAAAUAUUGAGUGAAUUAUUGAUUGAUUGACUCAAACAUGCAUGGACUAUUGAUGAUACAACAUAACUAUCUAAAAGUCGUUGUAGAUCAUGCAUUUCAUUACAGAGUGUAUUUGAUAUACAUACUGGUGGUUUGUAUUGAUAUGAACAUUGUCGUUGAAUUGGAAAUAUGUUUUUAUUAAGUAAAGCCAUAACAAAGACUG